GACGAACGCUGGCGGCGUGCUUAACACAUGCAAGUCGAACGGAAAGGCCCUGCUUUUGUGGGGUGCUCGAGUGGCGAACGGGUGAGUAACACGUGAGUAACCUGCCCUUGACUUUGGGAUAACUUCAGGAAACUGGGGCUAAUACCGGAUAGGAGCUCCUGCUGCAUGGUGGGGGUUGGAAAGUUUCGGCGGUUGGGGAUGGACUCGCGGCUUAUCAGCUUGUUGGUGGGGUAGUGGCUUACCAAGGCUUUGACGGGUAGCCGGCCUGAGAGGGUGACCGGCCACAUUGGGACUGAGCUACGGCCCAGACUCCUACGGGAGGCAGCAGUGGGGAAUAUUGCACAAUGGGCGGAGGCCUGAUGCAGCAACGCCGCGUGCGGGAUGACGGCCUUCGGGUUGUAAACCGCUUUCGCCUGUGACGAAGCGUGAGUGACGGUAAUGGGUAAAGAAGCACCGGCUAACUACGUG
Molecule: ribosomal RNA, 468 nt
Filed under: uncultured bacterium
Lineage: Bacteria
Description: partial 16S ribosomal RNA
Rfam family: Bacterial small subunit ribosomal RNA
Source: RNAcentral